UACGGAGGGGGCUAGCGUUGAUCGGAAUCACUGGGCGUAAAGCGCACGCAGGCGGAUCGAUAAGUCGGGGGUGAAAGCCCGGGGCUCAACCUCGGAAUUGCCUUCGAUACUGUCGGUCUCGAGUCCGGGAGAGGUGAGUGGAAUUCCUAGUGUAGAGGUGAAAGUCGUCGAUAUUAGGAAGAACACCAGUGGCGAAGGCGGCUCACUGGCCCGGUACUGACGCUCAGGUGCGAAAGCGUGGGGAGCAAACAGG
This 253-nucleotide ribosomal RNA is filed under the name uncultured bacterium. RNAcentral's name for it is "partial 16S ribosomal RNA". It matches the Rfam family "Bacterial small subunit ribosomal RNA", at positions 524 to 776 of the family's 1533-position model. The record is from RNAcentral.